AGCUGUUGGACUAUUUGGUG
RNAcentral lists this microRNA (20 nucleotides) under Bombyx mori nucleopolyhedrovirus. RNAcentral's name for it is "partial bmn-miR-364". Lineage: Naldaviricetes; Lefavirales; Baculoviridae. The record is from RNAcentral.